GAAAUGCGAUAAGUAAUGUGAAUUGCAGAAUUCAGUGAAUCAUCGAAUCUUUGAACGCACAUUGCGCCCGCCAGUAUUCUGGCGGGCAUGCCUGUUCGAGCGUCAUUUCCACCAUCAGGCCCCCGGGCCUGUGUUGGGGACCUGCGGCUGCCCGCAGGCCCCGAAAUUCAGUGGCGGUCGCGCCGUAGCAACCGAGCGUAGUAACUAAAACGUCUCGCUCUGGCUCGCUGGGCGCGCUCCGGCCGUAAAACACCCCCCCCUUUUCGCAAAGGUUGACCUCGGAUCAGGUAGGAAUACCCGCUGAACUUAA
RNAcentral lists this unclassified non-coding RNA (310 nucleotides) under uncultured Cladorrhinum. RNAcentral's name for it is "partial contains 5.8S ribosomal RNA, internal transcribed spacer 2, and large subunit ribosomal RNA". The stretch from base 1 to 105 matches the Rfam family "5.8S ribosomal RNA", at positions 50 to 154 of the family's 154-position model. The record is from RNAcentral. Lineage: Eukaryota; Fungi; Ascomycota; Sordariomycetes; Sordariales; Lasiosphaeriaceae.